GACAGAGGGUGCAAACGUUGUUCGGAAUUACUGGGCGUAAAGCGCGUGUAGGCGGCCCUGCAAGUCGGGUGUGAAAUCCCACGGCUCAACCGUGGAAGUGCAUUCGAAACUGCAGGGCUAGAGUCCUGGAGAGGAAGGUGGAAUGCUUGGUGUAGAGGUGAAAUUCGUAGAUAUCGGGAGGAACACCAGUGGCGAAGGCGGCGACCUGGACGGACAUUGACGCUGAGACGCGAAAGCGUGGGGAGCAAACAGG
This 253-nucleotide ribosomal RNA is filed under the name uncultured bacterium. RNAcentral's name for it is "partial 16S ribosomal RNA". It matches the Rfam family "Bacterial small subunit ribosomal RNA", at positions 524 to 776 of the family's 1533-position model. The record is from RNAcentral.